AAAGAGAUGCCCGAAUGCUCGUGGAAAGUGAGCAGCCUGCUCUGUCGGCAUGUCCGUACGGUGACAUAUUAAAAGAAAUGAAUGAAAGAUAAGUGCAUGGGGACAAACACCAGUGCUCGGGAAGCUGAGCCACACGCUAGCUGUGUCCGUGCAGAGAUCCGGGCCGCAGCUGCGCUUGCUGUUGGGCGUUCGUCGGCGCGCUGGCCGUUGCUGCGCUGUCCGCCUUCGUCGUCUGCAUGGCUCUCGGGGUCGUGAGCAUCAAGCUGCACUACGUGACAGCCGAGGCCAGGAAGGGCGACGCGACCACCUCUUCUGCGAGCGAGAGCGGCAGCGACAAAGCGCUGCAGACGAACCCUGCGGCGAAGACUGCGCGCGUCGAAGGGAACGCGCCGACGACGGCGGCCGCCAAAAGGCGCAACCCGGGAGACGAGCGCGUCCCUGAUCCUCGCCUGAUCUGAGGACUUCCGGUGCCGCACCUUCCGAUGUGCGAAGGCGCUAGGCUUAUUUUCCUUCUCUGAUUUCGCCAUUUAAACAUGCGAUGCUUAAAGUAAGGAGGAGGACGUGGGCAAGAAACAAAGGCGAGCCCAGAAGAGACGACGACACAAGAUUUCGUAGCCACCUGGAAUACAUGCUCAUAAAUCUUACGUGACUGAA
Molecule: long non-coding RNA, 654 nt
Organism: Dermacentor andersoni
Lineage: Eukaryota; Metazoa; Arthropoda; Arachnida; Ixodida; Ixodidae
Source: RefSeq, a predicted model, not a curated record